GUCCACGCCCUAAACUAUGUCAACUAGUUGUCGGAUCUGUUUAAGGAUUUGGUAACGAAGCUAACGCAUGAAGUUGACCGCCUGGGAAGUACGGUCGCAAGAUUAAAACUCAAAGGAAUUGACGGGGACCCGCACAAGCGGUGGAUUAUGUGGAUUAAUUCGAUGCAACGCGAAAAACCUUACCUACCCUUGACAUGCUUAAAAUUUUACAGAGAUGUAAAAGUGCCCGAAAGGGAAUUGAGACACAGGUGCUGCAUGGCUGUCGU
RNAcentral lists this ribosomal RNA (266 nucleotides) under uncultured bacterium. Its description in RNAcentral is "partial 16S ribosomal RNA". It matches the Rfam family "Bacterial small subunit ribosomal RNA", at positions 793 to 1055 of the family's 1533-position model. The record is from RNAcentral.